This 253-nucleotide ribosomal RNA is filed under the name uncultured bacterium. Its description in RNAcentral is "partial 16S ribosomal RNA". It matches the Rfam family "Bacterial small subunit ribosomal RNA", at positions 524 to 776 of the family's 1533-position model. The record is from RNAcentral.
GACGAACCGUGCGAACGUUGUUCGGAAUCACUGGGCUUAAAGGGCGCGUAGGCGGACGUUCAAGUCAGGGGUGAAAUCCUUCGGCUCAACCGAAGAAGGGCUUCUGAUACUGAACGUCUCGAGGGAGGUAGGGGCAUGUGGAACUUCCGGUGGAGCGGUGAAAUGCGUAGAUAUCGGAAGGAACGCCGGUGGCGAAAGCGACGUGCUGGACCUCUUCUGACGCUGAGGCGCGAAAGCCAGGGGAGCAAACGGG